GAUGGAGCACUCUCAACGUUUUUAACGUUGUUUUUAAAUUUCUAUUUCAUUUAUUCAUAAAUGGUAGAUAUCAGUGGUUUGUAUGAGAAUUUUGUCGUGUCAUGUACGGACACGAAGGGGAGCGACAAACGGAGGCUCCACGAAGAAACAGGUAACAGGUAAACCUCAGUGGCUGCUGCUGAACGUUACACAGGGAGGUGUGACACUGAAUGUAUAUUUUAGUCUUUUUCGGUGCAAGAAGUUCCAGUUAGAAAGGGAAGGAAAGGUAAAAAAUAAUAAAUAUCUGAGGACUUCAUCUACGGGGGCCAAAGACUGAUAACAUCCGGUCAGCCCCCCGGCCGAAAGUUAUCCUCCGACUGCCUGCCAAGCUACCGCAGGUCAAGGGAAGGGUGCGACUUAAUCAAAGGGACUAAUGCCCAAGUCACAUGUCACUUUGUGUCACGCCUAUUAGAACAAUAUGUGUAAGGUAAAAACCCUACAAUAACAGAGAGUGACUACAUGCACUCUGAGAUGCUAAUCUUUCACAACCCCAACAGGAGGAUUCGAGAGAAGUCUGAUCAAAGCUGGUGAGGCUGAACGACACAGGCUAGUCAACAGGACAGAUAACUGAUUUUCCUAGAACAGGUCCCGUGUAUUUUCAAAAAGCAAAUGUGGCACAAAAGUGCCAAAAAGCACAAAAUAUCUGAGGACCAAAUUGGAGUCGCUGGGCGGGGCUACCACAGGAAAUUCACCACUGAUUGGCAAAUGCAGUUACUAUGUAACAAAAUGUGGGCUAGUUCUGAAGACGCACACUGGCACUGUGUUGCUGGAAAUGAGAUACAUGUGAGUGACUGUAGUCGGUCAGAACCAAAUAUUUUCUGUCUUCAGGUUGUUUGUAAAAGAAAUGCGCUUUCUCACUUCAAUGCAACUUUAUCCCCAUAAAUAUCUCAAAGCCCCGUUCAGACUGCUUGAUGGCCCCGACAGAGGUUUGUCGAAAUAGCUUCAGAAACUGUUGUAUAAAUUAUAAUGUACGAACCACAAGUUAUCUCAGUAGCAGAUAAGGUGAGCAGCAGCCAUCUUGGUUAUUUACAAAAGAUCCACAGCAGGGCUCCUCGGUGUAUUUACAUCAAACCUGCCCUGUAUUAGAUGAAUGUUUGUGAUUGGCCUGACACAAACAGGGCUGCGUGGAAAUGUGAAGACGGAUGCAUUCUGCACGAGCUAAGGAAACACAAGCUCUUAUUCAUUUGGUUCCCAGGCUAUAUUUAUUACCCCCCCCCCCCCCUUUAAAAAAAAUAAACAGUAUAAGAUAUUGUUUUUGGUUGUGUGAGAAUUUUUGUACAGAAAUAAGUUUCCUGCCAAAAAAAAUUGUGUUUGGUUUCUCAGAUUGGCUCAAGUUCAGCUCGCCAAAAGCCGGAAGCGAUUUAAUAAGGGACACGCUAAAUGGGAGUGGUGAGUGAUUGGAUCUGUUAUGGCAGUGCCAUUUAGAAAAAACCUCUCCUAGCUGCAGCCAUGUUGGUAAUAUCAGAUAUAAAAAUAAAUAAAUAAAAACUCCCUUAAAUGCGUGGUGACUUUUCUUUCCCCUGAAAGUUUUACUUCUAUCUUUGCUGUUGUGAAAUCCUCCUGUGAAUUCAGGCUGCCCUGUCUGCUCUUAUGUCUCUUUUAAGCCUUUUGUGGAUCCAGAUGUUCUGUUUAUUUAGGAAUCCACCAACAAAGCUGACCAAACUGUUUAUUUAGCAGUUAAAAAAGGCCAUGCUAUGUGUGAAAUAUGUAUAACUUUGUCUUUGUGUCUCUUGCUAAAUGUUCGUGAUUGUUAUUUAAACACCCCCUCUCCUCUUCCUCUGUUCACCACAGGGCAGACAGACAACCACACACUUUCACAACUUACUUAAAGACUAAUUUAUUAUUUUGUUUUGGGGGUUUUUUUCAUUUCCAAUAGCCA
Oreochromis aureus is the source of this 1918-nucleotide long non-coding RNA. The record is from Ensembl. NCBI's taxonomy places the organism in Eukaryota, Metazoa, Chordata, Actinopteri, Cichliformes, Cichlidae.